CUGUUUCUUCUAAAACGAGUUAUUCUACCGGCGGUAUAGCCCGCGAGCGCAAGCUAAUUCGGUUAGAACCCGAAGCCGACAGUACGGUCUGGAUGAGAGAAGAAAGCC
This 108-nucleotide non-coding RNA is filed under the name unclassified sequences. Its description in RNAcentral is "FMN sequence". It matches the Rfam family "FMN riboswitch aptamer (RFN element)". Rfam says of the family: The RFN element is a highly conserved domain that is found frequently in the 5'-untranslated regions of prokaryotic mRNAs that encode for flavin mononucleotide (FMN) biosynthesis and transport proteins. The record is from RNAcentral.